Molecule: small RNA, 770 nt
Filed under: Pongo abelii (Sumatran orangutan)
Lineage: Eukaryota; Metazoa; Chordata; Mammalia; Primates; Hominidae
Description: processed transcript
Source: RNAcentral
AUUCAUUCAUUUUUUCUUAUAUUCUCUUUUAUAUUCAACUUUUUAUUUCAAUUGAAAUGUAAUAUAAAAAUAUGAGUUUUUUAACAACAAAAAACUCAAAGGAAAUAUGUUUUUAGUUCAUGUGUUUUGAGCCCUUCUCAGGGGAUUUGUGUUGAGUUUAUUACAGCUAUGGAAAUGGAAAUUAUAGAAGUUCCAUAUUUAGCAGCCUUAUGUUUUUGAUCCUAAAAGUAGUCUGUUUUGAAAAGGUUUGAAAACAUACAAAAGCACACAUAUACUAAAUUUUUUCCCAUUGACUGGAGGAAAUUGAGAAGGAAUUUUGCUACAAAUUAAAUGUACAAAAAAUAUUGAAAGUGGGUUUGUUUUAGGAAUUUAUGCGUAUGAUUGGCAACGACAAACAAGGACAGAUGAUCGUGUUCCAUUUGAUAGAACUUUUGAAGAAUAAUGGAAGAUUACCAAGACCAGAUGGAUGCCCAGAUGAGAUUUAUAUGAUCAUGACAGAAUGCUGGAACAAUAAUGUAAAUCAGCGCCCCUCCUUUAGGGAUCUAGCUCUUCGAGUGGAUCAAAUAAGGGAUAACAUGGCUGGAUGAAAGAAAUGACCUUCAUUCUGAGACCAAAGUAGAUUUAUAGAACAAAGUUUUACAUUUCACAUUGCUGUGGACUAUUAUUACAUAUAUCAUUAUUAUAUAAAUCAUGAUGCUAGCCAGCAAAGAUGUGAAAAUAUCUGCUCAAAACUUUCAAAGUUUAGUAAGUUUUUCUUCAUGAGGCCACCA